GACGAACGCUGGCGGCGUGCUUAACACAUGCAAGUCGAGCGGAAAGGCCCUUUCGGGGGUACUCGAGCGGCGAACGGGUGAGUAACACGUGAGUAAUCUGCCCCUGGCUUUGGGGUAGCCACCGGAAACGGUGAUUAAUACCGGAUACGACCACUUCUCGCAUGGGAUGGUGGUGGAAAGUUUUUCGGCCAGGGGUGUGCUCGCGGCCUAUCAGCUUGAUGGUGAGGUAAUGGCUCACCAUGGCUUCGACGGGUAGCCGGCCUGAGAGGGUGACCGGUCACACCGGGACUGAGACACGGCCCAGACUCCUACGGGAGGCAGCAGUGGGGAAUAUUGGACAAUGGGCGGAAGCCUGAUCCAGCAACGCCGCGUGAGGGAUGACGGCCUUCGGGUUGUAAACCUCUUUCAGCAGGGACGAAGCGCAAGUGACGGUACCUGCAGAAGAAGCACCGGCCGACUACGUGCCAGCAGCCGCGGUAA
Molecule: ribosomal RNA, 480 nt
Filed under: uncultured bacterium
Lineage: Bacteria
Description: partial 16S ribosomal RNA
Rfam family: Bacterial small subunit ribosomal RNA
Source: RNAcentral